CCGCACGCGCGCUACACUGACAGAGCCAACGAGUUCAUCACCUUGGCCGAAAGGUCUGGGUAAUCUUGUUAAACUCUGUCGUGCUGGGGAUAGAGCAUUGCAAUUAUUGCUCUUCAACGAGGAAUUCCUAGUAGGCGCAAGUCAUCAGCUUGUGCCGACUACGU
Molecule: ribosomal RNA, 164 nt
Filed under: uncultured eukaryote
Lineage: Eukaryota
Description: partial 18S ribosomal RNA
Rfam family: Eukaryotic small subunit ribosomal RNA
Source: RNAcentral